Molecule: unclassified non-coding RNA, 373 nt
Filed under: soil metagenome
Description: partial contains 5.8S ribosomal RNA, internal transcribed spacer 2, and large subunit ribosomal RNA
Rfam family: 5.8S ribosomal RNA (bases 1-121)
Source: RNAcentral
GAUGAAGAACGUAGCGAAAUGCGAUAAGUAAUGCGAAUUGCAGAAUUCCAGUGAGUCAUCGAAUCUUUGAACGCACAUUGCGCCCUUUGGUAUUCCGAAGGGCAUGCCUGUUCGAGCGUCAUUAUCACCCCUCAAGCCCUCGGCUUGGUGUUGGACGGUUUGGUGGAGGCCCCCUCGGGGGCUCCUGCCCCUCCCAAAGACAAUGACGGCGGCCUCGUUGGACCCCCGGUACACUGAGUUCUUCACGGGACACGUAUCGGACACAUGGGUUUACGGGACACGGUCUGCCUCCCCUCUGGGAGAAUCUUUCUAAGGUUGACCUCGGAUCAGGUAGGGAUACCCGCUGAACUUAAGCAUAUCAAUAAGCGGAGGA